RNAcentral lists this long non-coding RNA (294 nucleotides) under Elaeis guineensis (African oil palm). RNAcentral's name for it is "long non-coding RNA (EGUI_LNC065624)". Lineage: Eukaryota; Viridiplantae; Streptophyta; Magnoliopsida; Arecales; Arecaceae. The record is from RNAcentral.
CAUCAAACCUCAUCAUUAGUCAUAUGAUAGAUUUGAUCAGUUCAAGUCCAAUUGUGAUCCUUAUGAAAAUUCUUUUUCAACAAUCAUACUGCUAUGGCCACAGACUCUCAGACUUAGUCUCUCAAAUCUCAUAGGACUAUUCCUUUCUAUCAAGAUCGAUAGAUCUAUCUUGAUGUAUAUCCUACUCUUACAGUGGAUCAACUAUUACCAACAUCCACUACAAAGGCUCAUUGAGAUCAUAUUUAUAUGUCAAUCAAACUUCAACAGUCUUACUAUAAGCAGUCGUACCAUCAU